RNAcentral lists this unclassified non-coding RNA (423 nucleotides) under uncultured bacterium. RNAcentral describes it as "partial contains 16S ribosomal RNA, 16S-23S ribosomal RNA intergenic spacer, and 23S ribosomal RNA". The stretch from base 292 to 423 matches the Rfam family "Bacterial large subunit ribosomal RNA", at positions 1 to 131 of the family's 2925-position model. The record is from RNAcentral.
GCGGCUGGACCCCUCCUUUCUAAGGAGUCCAUGGGGUGUCACCAACGGCACACCGACUCCCAGUUGGUGCACUGGUGCCUGUCGUCAUCGACCCCGACCGGUCGUAGGUUCUCCCUCCCGGUCGGACGAGGUGCCGCCAGGCGUCGUCUCUUCCGUUCUCAAGGUGCGCUGCGUCUUCCGCAGCGCACCUUCUCGCGUCGAGCGCUCGCCGGCUCGAGCUCCCAGCUCGCCGGCGAUCUCGCCUCUUUCGCUCCUUGAGAAUUGCAUAGCGAACACGAGCAUCUUUGUAAUUUCCAAGCUACAAAGAGCCAACGGUGGAUGCCUUGGCGUCGAGCACCGAUGAAGGACGUGUCUGGCUGCGAAAAGCCACGGGGAGCUGCCGAGAGAGCUUUGAUCCGUGGAUGUCCGAAUGGGGAAACCCGG